GGUCGUUUAGCUCAGUCGGUCAGAGCAUCGUGCUAAUAACGCGAGGGUCGCAGGUUCGAGCCCUGCAUCGACCA
RNAcentral lists this transfer RNA (74 nucleotides) under Perkinsus olseni. It matches the Rfam family "tRNA". Rfam says of the family: Transfer RNA (tRNA) molecules are approximately 80 nucleotides in length. Their secondary structure includes four short double-helical elements and three loops (D, anti-codon, and T loops). The record is from Rfam by way of RNAcentral. Lineage: Eukaryota; Perkinsozoa; Perkinsida; Perkinsidae.